UUAAGUUAUUAAGGGCGCACGGUGGAUGCCUUGGCACUAGAAGCCGAUGAAGGACGUUACUAACGACGAUAUGCUUUGGGGAGCUGUAAGUAAGCUUUGAUCCAGAGAUUUCCGAAUGGGGAAACCCAGCAUGAGUUAUGUCAUGUUAUCGAUAUGUGAAUACAUAGCAUAUCAGAAGGCACACCCGGAGAACUGAAACAUCUUAGUACCCGGAGGAAGAGAAAGAAAAUUCGAUUCCCUUAGUAGCGGCGAGCGAAACGGGAAGAGCCCAAACUAACAAGCUUGCUUGUUGGGGUUGUAGGACACUCUAUACGGAGUUACAAAGGACGACAUUAGACGAAUCAUCUGGAAAGAUGAAUCAAAGAAGGUAAUAAUCCUGUAGUCGAAAAUGUUGUCUCUCUUGAGUGGAUCCUGAGUACGACGGAGCACGUGAAAUUCCGUCGGAAUCUGGGAGGACCAUCUCCUAAGGCUAAAUACUCUCUAGUGACCGAUAGUGAACCAGUACCGUGAGGGAAAGGUGAAAAGCACCCCGGAAGGGGAGUGAAAUAGAACCUGAAACCGUGUGCUUACAAGUAGUCAGAGCCCGUUAAUGGGUGAUGGCGUGCCUUUUGUAGAAUGAACCGGCGAGUUACGAUUUGAUGCAAGGUUAAGCAGUAAAUGUGGAGCCGUAGCGAAAGCGAGUCUGAAUAGGGCGUUUAGUAUUUGGUCGUAGACCCGAAACCAGGUGAUCUACCCUUGGUCAGGUUGAAGUUCAGGUAACACUGAAUGGAGGACCGAACCGACUUACGUUGAAAAGUGAGCGGAUGAACUGAGGGUAGCGGAGAAAUUCCAAUCGAACCUGGAGAUAGCUGGUUCUCUCCGAAAUAGCUUUAGGGCUAGCCUCAAGUGAUGAUUAUUGGAGGUAGAGCACUGUUUGGACGAGGGGCCCCUCUCGGGUUACCGAAUUCAGACAAACUCCGAAUGCCAAUUAAUUUAACUUGGGAGUCAGAACAUGGGUGAUAAGGUCCGUGUUCGAAAGGGAAACAGCCCAGACCACCAGCUAAGGUCCCAAAAUAUAUGUUAAGUGGAAAAGGAUGUGGCGUUGCCCAGACAACUAGGAUGUUGGCUUAGAAGCAGCCAUCAUUUAAAGAGUGCGUAAUAGCUCACUAGUCGAGUGACACUGCGCCGAAAAUGUACCGGGGCUAAACAUAUUACCGAAGCUGUGGAUUGUCCUUUGGACAAUGGUAGGAGAGCGUUCUAAGGGCGUUGAAGCAUGAUCGUAAGGACAUGUGGAGCGCUUAGAAGUGAGAAUGCCGGUGUGAGUAGCGAAAGACGGGUGAGAAUCCCGUCCACCGAUUGACUAAGGUUUCCAGAGGAAGGCUCGUCCGCUCUGGGUUAGUCGGGUCCUAAGCUGAGGCCGACAGGCGUAGGCGAUGGAUAACAGGUUGAUAUUCCUGUACCACCUAUAAUCGUUUUAAUCGAUGGGGGGACGCAGUAGGAUAGGCGAAGCGUGCGAUUGGAUUGCACGUCUAAGCAGUAAGGCUGAGUAUUAGGCAAAUCCGGUACUCGUUAAGGCUGAGCUGUGAUGGGGAGAAGACAUUGAGUCUUCGAGUCGUUGAUUUCACACUGCCGAGAAAAGCCUCUAGAUAGAAAAUAGGUGCCCGUACCGCAAACCGACACAGGUAGUCAAGAUGAGAAUUCUAAGGUGAGCGAGCGAACUCUCGUUAAGGAACUCGGCAAAAUGACCCCGUAACUUCGGGAGAAGGGGUGCUCUUUAGGGUUAACGCCCAGAAGAGCCGCAGUGAAUAGGCCCAAGCGACUGUUUAUCAAAAACACAGGUCUCUGCUAAACCGUAAGGUGAUGUAUAGGGGCUGACGCCUGCCCGGUGCUGGAAGGUUAAGAGGAGUGGUUAGCUUCUGCGAAGCUACGAAUCGAAGCCCCAGUAAACGGCGGCCGUAACUAUAACGGUCCUAAGGUAGCGAAAUUCCUUGUCGGGUAAGUUCCGACCCGCACGAAAGGCGUAACGAUUUGGGCACUGUCUCAACGAGAGACUCGGUGAAAUCAUAGUACCUGUGAAGAUGCAGGUUACCCGCGACAGGACGGAAAGACCCCGUGGAGCUUUACUGUAGCCUGAUAUUGAAAUUCGGCACAGCUUGUACAGGAUAGGUAGGAGCCUUUGAAACGUGAGCGCUAGCUUACGUGGAGGCGCUGGUGGGAUACUACCCUAGCUGUGUUGGCUUUCUAACCCGCACCACUUAUCGUGGUGGGAGACAGUGUCAGGCGGGCAGUUUGACUGGGGCGGUCGCCUCCUAAAAGGUAACGGAGGCGCUCAAAGGUUCCCUCAGAAUGGUUGGAAAUCAUUCAUAGAGUGUAAAGGCAUAAGGGAGCUUGACUGCGAGACCUACAAGUCGAGCAGGGUCGAAAGACGGACUUAGUGAUCCGGUGGUUCCGCAUGGAAGGGCCAUCGCUCAACGGAUAAAAGCUACCCCGGGGAUAACAGGCUUAUCUCCCCCAAGAGUUCACAUCGACGGGGAGGUUUGGCACCUCGAUGUCGGCUCAUCGCAUCCUGGGGCUGUAGUCGGUCCCAAGGGUUGGGCUGUUCGCCCAUUAAAGCGGUACGCGAGCUGGGUUCAGAACGUCGUGAGACAGUUCGGUCCCUAUCCGUCGUGGGCGUAGGAAAUUUGAGAGGAGCUGUCCUUAGUACGAGAGGACCGGGAUGGACAUACCUCUGGUGUACCAGUUGUCGUGCCAACGGCAUAGCUGGGUAGCUAUGUGUGGACGGGAUAAGUGCUGAAAGCAUCUAAGCAUGAAGCCCCCCUCAAGAUGAGAUUUCCCAACUUCGGUUAUAAGAUCCCUCAAAGAUGAUGAGGUUAAUAGGUUCGAGGUGGAAGCAUGGUGACAUGUGGAGCUGACGAAUACUAAUCGAUCGAAGACUUAAUCAA
This 2921-nucleotide ribosomal RNA is filed under the name Staphylococcus aureus M0077. Its description in RNAcentral is "bacterial LSU rRNA". It matches the Rfam family "Bacterial large subunit ribosomal RNA". Lineage: Bacteria; Bacillati; Bacillota; Bacilli; Caryophanales; Staphylococcaceae. The record is from RNAcentral.